This 118-nucleotide microRNA precursor is filed under the name Ophiophagus hannah (king cobra). RNAcentral describes it as "microRNA oha-mir-1397 precursor". The stretch from base 15 to 98 matches the Rfam family "mir-1397 microRNA precursor family". The record is from miRBase by way of RNAcentral. RNAcentral also lists the same sequence under 1 other name. Lineage: Eukaryota; Metazoa; Chordata; Lepidosauria; Squamata; Elapidae.
ACUUUCUGACAAAAUGCGAUGUGUGCAUUGCAUUGCGACGGGUUACAUCACUGGUCAUAACAUGAUGUAACCCAACGCAGCAUGAUGUAAGCAUCGUGAUACAUUGGAGGUUUAAAGA